UACGUAGGGGGCAAGCGUUGUCCGGAUUUAUUGGGCGUAAAGAGCGUGUAGGCGGCCACACAGGUCAGCUGUGAAAACUCGAGGCUCAACCUCGAGACGUCGGUUGAAACCGUAUGGCUAGAGUCCGGAAGAGGAGAGUGGAAUUCCCGGUGUAGCGGUGAAAUGCGCAGAUAUCGGGAAGAACACCCGUGGCGAAGGCGGCUCUCUGGGACGGUACUGACGCUGAGACGCGAAAGCUGGGGGAGCGAACGGG
This 253-nucleotide ribosomal RNA is filed under the name uncultured bacterium. RNAcentral's name for it is "partial 16S ribosomal RNA". It matches the Rfam family "Bacterial small subunit ribosomal RNA", at positions 524 to 776 of the family's 1533-position model. The record is from RNAcentral.